GACGAACGCUGGCGGCGCGCUUAACACAUGCAAGUCGAACGGAAAGGCCUGCUUUCCCUUGUGGAUUGCGGGUACUCGAGUGGCGAACGGGUGAGUAACACGUGAGUGAUCUGCCCCCAACUUGGGUAUAAGCCUGGGAAACUGGGUCUAAUUCCCGAUAGGACUGCAGGGUGGUGCCUGUGGUUGAAAACGAUUUUCUAGUGGUUGGGGAUGAGCUCGCGGCCUAUCAGCUUGUUGGUUGGGUAAUGGCCUACCAAGGCGGCGACGGGUAGCCGGCCUGGGAGGGUGGACGGCCACAUUGGGACUGAGAUACGGCCCCGACGCCUACGGGAGGCAGCAGUGGGGAAUAUUGCACAAUGGGCGGAAGCCUGAUGCAGCGACGCCGCGUGGGGGAUGACGGCCUUCGGGUUGUAAACUCCUUUCGACCGCGAGGAAGCCACCUGGUUGGAAGGGUGGUGACGGUAGUGGUAGAAGAAGCACCGGCCAACUACGUG
RNAcentral lists this ribosomal RNA (494 nucleotides) under uncultured bacterium. RNAcentral describes it as "partial 16S ribosomal RNA". It matches the Rfam family "Bacterial small subunit ribosomal RNA", at positions 28 to 507 of the family's 1533-position model. The record is from RNAcentral.